CGAGCGAACAGACGAGGAGCUUGCUUCUCUGACGUUAGCGGCGGACGGGUGAGUAACACGUGGAUAACCUACCUAUAAGACUGGGAUAACUUCGGGAAACCGGAGCUAAUACCGGAUAAUAUAUUGAACCGCAUGGUUCAAUAGCGAAAGACGGUUUUGCUGUCACUUAUAGAUGGAUCCGCGCCGCAUUAGCUAGUUGGUAAGGUAACGGCUUACCAAGGCAACGAUGCGUAGCCGACCUGAGAGGGUGAUCGGCCAUACUGGAACUGAGACACGGUCCAGACUCCUACGGGAGGCAGCAGUAGGGAAUCUUCCGCAAUGGGCGAAAGCCUGACGGAGCAACGCCGCGUGAGUGAUGAAGGUCUUCGGAUCGUAAAACUCUGUUAUUAGGGAAGAACAAAUGUGUAAGUAACUAUGCACGUCUUGACGGUACCUAGUCAGAAAGCCACGGCUAACUACGUGCCAGCAGCCGCGGUAAUACGUAGGUGGCAAGCGUUAUCCGGAAUUAUUGGGCGUAAAGCGCGCGUAGGCGGUUUUUUAAGUCUGAUGUGAAAGCCCACGGCUCAACCGUGGAGGGUCAUUGGAAACUGAAAAACUUGAGUGCAGAAGAGGAAAGUGGAAUUCCAUGUGUAGCGGUGAAAUGCGCAGAGAUAUGGAGGAACACCAGUGGCGAAGGCGACUUUCUGGUCUGUAACUGACGCUGAUGUGCGAAAGCGUGGGGAUCAAACAGGAUUA
This 735-nucleotide ribosomal RNA is filed under the name uncultured Staphylococcus sp. RNAcentral's name for it is "bacterial SSU rRNA". It matches the Rfam family "Bacterial small subunit ribosomal RNA", at positions 63 to 780 of the family's 1533-position model. Lineage: Bacteria; Bacillati; Bacillota; Bacilli; Caryophanales; Staphylococcaceae. The record is from RNAcentral.